Molecule: long non-coding RNA, 1012 nt
Organism: Papaver somniferum (opium poppy)
Lineage: Eukaryota; Viridiplantae; Streptophyta; Magnoliopsida; Ranunculales; Papaveraceae
Exons: 4
Source: RefSeq, a predicted model, not a curated record
UGGAAGGAUGGGGACACCUCUGGGGUUAUAACUCGCGGACCGAAUUGAGAAGGAUGUUAUUGGAACGUGAAGACAAAGGCUUCCCACCCCUUACUUGUGCACAGACCUCUACGGAACUUCAGAAAAUCAGUAGAGAAGAAUUAAAGAAAAGGGAAGCUCGUGGUCAAGAGACCCCACGCUCCACGCUUAUUAUCUGCAAAUAUGACUCUGAUGGCAGUCCUAAAAUGGUGAAGUUAAUAAUAGAUAAAGGGGAUGUAACCGUUGGAGUCACCCCUGAAAAAUGGGCUAUUGGGGGCAAAGCAACAGAACAAACUUGUGCCAAGAUUUACAAAUAUUUGGCAGAUAAUUUGAAAGAUGACGAGGAUGAAAAAAACUCCUUUAGGGAGGGUUGCCCAUAUUGUUAACAUUUGUACCAAAAUGGCCUCAACAUAUUCAGAGAUUAAAAAAAAGCCAGAGGAUAAUAAUAGCAUUGGAGGACUAUCAACUGUGUAUGUAGUUCAAGAAGAGGAGGAAGAGCCAAUUGGGGAUCUUCAAAGCCGCCAUUUAGCUGAGGAGAGAUUCCAAAAUCUAGGUCCUCUUAAAAUGACGAAGUAUAACUUUGGUGAGAUAGCCCAGUCUAGACAAAUAUUCGUAAAGCAAUGAUGCUAGUGAAACUGCGACGCUUGCAAUUGAUUCUUCAUCGACUUCAAGUUAAGGAGGGUUCUAUGCUUAGUCUGUUACUUAUCUAAGAAGGUGCUUGUUAGAAUUUAGAAGACUGUUAUUGCUUUAAUUAUUAGCCUUAUACUUCUUGCGGAUAAUCUAUAUCUUUUUAGGUUGCAUUGAAAUGUUUGGAAAUUAGUUUCUAGAAACAUGAUGGGUAUUGUUAAUGUGAACAUGCACUGAGGCACCUUUAAAUCAAUUGGGGUUUGUAUGACAAUAUCCUUUUCUUUCUUAUUUCCGUCAGUUGAUACUGCCAGUUGUUGCGUUAGCACUUUAGUUCUCUGGUUUCAGGUUUGUAUUAGUGAUGCUAUUA